RNAcentral lists this non-coding RNA (23 nucleotides) under Cricetulus griseus (Chinese hamster). Lineage: Eukaryota; Metazoa; Chordata; Mammalia; Rodentia; Cricetidae. The record is from RNAcentral.
UGAGAAUGCAAGGAAGCUUGGAG